ACGGAGGGUGCAAGCGUUAUCCGGAAUCACUGGGUUUAAAGGGUGCGUAGGCGGCUAUGUAAGUCAGUUGUGAAAUACCUCGGCUUAACCGAAGGAAGUGCGAUUGAUACUGCGUAGCUUGAAUCAGGUUGAGGUAGGCGGAAUGUGACAUGUAGCGGUGAAAUGCUUAGAUAUGUCAUAGAACACCGAUUGCGAAGGCAGCUUACUGGGCUUUGAUUGACGCUGAGGCACGAAAGCGUGGGGAGCAAACAGGA
This 254-nucleotide ribosomal RNA is filed under the name uncultured prokaryote. RNAcentral describes it as "partial 16S ribosomal RNA". It matches the Rfam family "Bacterial small subunit ribosomal RNA", at positions 525 to 777 of the family's 1533-position model. The record is from RNAcentral.